AGUGAACGCUGGCGGUAGGCCUAACACAUGCAAGUCGAACGGCAGCACAGUAAGAGCUUGCUCUUACGGGUGGCGAGUGGCGGACGGGUGAGGAAUACAUCGGAAUCUACUUUUUCGUGGGGGAUAACGUAGGGAAACUUACGCUAAUACCGCAUACGACCUACGGGUGAAAGCAGGGGAUCUUCGUACCUUGCGCGAUUGAAUGAGCCGAUGUCGGAUUAGCUAGUUGGCGGGGUAAAGGCCCACCAAGGCGACGAUCCGUAGCUGGUCUGAGAGGAUGAUCAGCCACACUGGAACUGAGACACGGUCCAGACUCCUACGGGAGGCAGCAGUGGGGAAUAUUGGACAGUGGGCGAAAGCCUGAUCCAGCAAUACCGCGUGGGUGAAGAAGGCCUUCGGGUUGUAAAGCCCUUUUGUUGGGAAAGAAAAGCAGCAGGUUAAUACCCCGCUGUUCUGACGGUACCCAAAGAAUAAGCAACGGCUAACUUCGUG
Molecule: ribosomal RNA, 492 nt
Filed under: uncultured bacterium
Lineage: Bacteria
Description: partial 16S ribosomal RNA
Rfam family: Bacterial small subunit ribosomal RNA
Source: RNAcentral